RNAcentral lists this ribosomal RNA (484 nucleotides) under uncultured bacterium. RNAcentral's name for it is "partial 16S ribosomal RNA". It matches the Rfam family "Bacterial small subunit ribosomal RNA", at positions 30 to 507 of the family's 1533-position model. The record is from RNAcentral.
AUUGAACGCUGGCGGCAGGCCUAACACAUGCAAGUCGAGCGGAUGAAGGGAGCUUGCUCCUGGAUUCAGCGGCGGACGGGUGAGGAAUGCCUAGGAAUCUGCCUGGUAGUGGGGGAUAACGUCCGGAAACGGGCGCUAAUACCGCAUACGUCCUGAGGGAGAAAGUGGGGGAUCUUCGGACCUCACGCUAUCAGAUGAGCCCAGGUCGGAUUAGCUAGUUGGUGGGGUAAAGGCCUACCAAGGCGACGAUCCGUAACUGGUCUGAGAGGAUGAUCAGUCACACUGGAACGGAGACACGGUCCAGACUCCUACGGGAGGCAGCAGUGGGGAAUAUUGGACAAUGGGCGAAAGCCUGAUCCAGCCCUGCCGCGUGUGUGAAGAAGGUCUUCGGAUUGUAAAGCACUUUACGUUGGGAGGAAGGGCAGUAAGUUAAUACCUUGCUGUUUUGACGUUACCAACAGAAUAAGCACCGGCUAACUUCGUG